RNAcentral lists this small RNA (567 nucleotides) under Adustoporia sinuosa. RNAcentral's name for it is "eukaryotic LSU rRNA". The stretch from base 190 to 343 matches the Rfam family "5.8S ribosomal RNA". Lineage: Eukaryota; Fungi; Basidiomycota; Agaricomycetes; Polyporales; Adustoporiaceae. The record is from RNAcentral.
AGGAGUUUGAAGGGGUUGUAGCUGGUCUUUUCCGAGACAUGUGCACGCCCUGCUCAUCCAUUCUACCCCUGUGCACACUCUGUAGGUCGGUUUUGAAGUGAUUCCUCACGGAAUUGCUCGGGCCUUCCUAUGUUUUCAUAUAAACACUUUAAAGUCAAAGAAUGUAAUCGCGUGUAACGCAUUUAAUACAACUUUCAGCAACGGAUCUCUUGGCUCUCGCAUCGAUGAAGAACGCAGCGAAAUGCGAUAAGUAAUGUGAAUUGCAGAAUUCAGUGAAUCAUCGAAUCUUUGAACGCACCUUGCGCUCCUUGGUAUUCCGAGGAGCAUGCCUGUUUGAGUGUCAUGGAAUUCUCAACCCUCUUAUCUUUGUUAUGAGAUGGGCUUGGACUUGGAGGUUAUUGCCGGCUUGUCAUGAGUCUGGCUCCUCUUGAAUUCAUUAGCUUGAACCCUUGUGGAUCGGCUACUCGGUGUGAUAAUUGUCUACGCCGUGUGCUGUGAAGCUUUCAAACACUUUGUUGUGUUGAGGGAUUUGCUUCUAAUCGUCCUUCAAUGGACAAUUUUUGACCU